Molecule: ribosomal RNA, 37 nt
Filed under: Candida tropicalis
Lineage: Eukaryota; Fungi; Ascomycota; Pichiomycetes; Serinales; Debaryomycetaceae
Description: partial 18S ribosomal RNA
Source: RNAcentral
AGGGCUUCCGUAAGGGGGCCCUGCGGAAGGAUCAUUA